GAUAUAUAGCAGAAAUUCAAUUGUUCCCCUUGAAUUUCAUAAACAUAAACUACUAAAAUAAUAUAAUGAAGAUAAAUUAUUGACACCAAUAAAUAAAUACAUCAAAUAAUUUUUAUUUGUUUUAUCACUCUAAUAUUCAACCCUAGAAAAUAUAUUCUUCUGGUGAAGGAAGAAAACUUGGAUUUGCCAAAAGUAAGUCUUCAAGAAGAAUCUACUUUGUUGUCUUCAUAGAAGAUGACAAAUUUUUUUAGAGGUUCCAAAUGGGGUUACAACAUCAAAACAUCUAUCUUUAUUCUUUUUCAUUGAAUGACCAAAUGCAAUGACAUUUUUGGUUCUCCUUUUCUUUUCCAACACCUUCAUCGUCUUCCUAUUGAAGUUCUUCAAUUGCAUUUCUUGAUCUAACUUUUAGUUUAGCUAGAGGUAAAUGAUUGAAGGGUGGUCCUGUAGAGGUCUCCAAAAGCUAACCGUCGAAUAUAUUUUUUCUUA
This 486-nucleotide long non-coding RNA is filed under the name Cicer arietinum (chickpea). Its description in RNAcentral is "long non-coding RNA (CARI_LNC000516)". The record is from RNAcentral. Lineage: Eukaryota; Viridiplantae; Streptophyta; Magnoliopsida; Fabales; Fabaceae.